Molecule: long non-coding RNA, 350 nt
Organism: Salvia splendens (bonfire salvia)
Lineage: Eukaryota; Viridiplantae; Streptophyta; Magnoliopsida; Lamiales; Lamiaceae
Exons: 2
Source: RefSeq, a predicted model, not a curated record
CAGUUCAAGUACUAAUUAGCGUGUUACGCUAUUUUCAAGGGAGAAAACAGUCAAGGGCAAGAGAGGCCUAACGAGGAAUUUAAGUGAAGAUAAGCACACGAGGUUGAACGUCAGGAUGGAGAAAAGAUUGAUCAGAGUCGAUGCUAUUAAAUAAGCCUGUGGAUAUCUCGACGAUUCGUGUCUUCAUACACGAAGUCGUUCAGUUGGGACCUAUUCCGCUGUGUUUCGUUGAAUGAGAAUAGUAUUGUCUCAUCAUUGAACUCUGAUUCAGUUGACACAUCAAACAUUCUAUUUUGAGAUUGUACCAAAUACUCGACUGUUAUUUUGGUAAUAUCACAUUUGUCCUUCGA